AAGACUUAUACUUCACAGGAUCAUUUCUGUAGUAUGUCUUCCUUUCUCUCUACUCAACAGUAGAAUAGAAACAAACCGCGAUGAUGAGGUAUAUGUCCUCUUCCCUGAGCGUGAGGCCGCUGCCGCCGCCGCCGCUGUGUUCCGAGUCGUAUGACCUGGGACCGCGCGCGCGCAGCAUCGAUGAUCGUUCCCUUCGCCCUCGCGGCGACGGGGUGGGAAGUGGGCUGCCUGAGCGGU
Thrips palmi is the source of this 237-nucleotide small nucleolar RNA. RefSeq annotates it as small nucleolar RNA U3. The record is from RefSeq and is a predicted model, not a curated record. Lineage: Eukaryota; Metazoa; Arthropoda; Insecta; Thysanoptera; Thripidae. The transcript has a single exon.